Molecule: long non-coding RNA, 1051 nt
Organism: Betta splendens (Siamese fighting fish)
Lineage: Eukaryota; Metazoa; Chordata; Actinopteri; Anabantiformes; Osphronemidae
Exons: 2
Source: RefSeq, a predicted model, not a curated record
AGACCACCGCCUCCAGGGCCAGGACCCCAACGUUGCCCAUUCCACCGAUCCCACCUCUGCCGGCCAUGGUGAAGUCGUACUCGAGGGGCAGGUCGUCGAGGCAGUCUGCGUUCAGCUGGAGAGCAGGUCACAGAAGACUCACAGCGAUGCCCAGAGCUUUCAGGAUGUUCAUCUUGCACAUGGGACACGUGCGAUGGUCCAGCAGCCACGGAUCCACACAGCUCUUAUGGAAUAAAUGUCUGCGAGGGAACAGAAGCAGAGAGACGGGUCACACCAACAUGCUGCAGGAGAAUCCAGCUCACAGCUGCUUCCAUUUUCAGCAGUUACACAAGAAUCUGACUAAACGCGCUUUUUGUUUGCUCCGUUAUCUCAUGAAUUUUGUUGCAUAAUCACAGGCAGUAAAUAACUGCGCUGUCGUAAGGAGAGUCACUGUAGCCUGAGGAAACCAGCUCCAUUAUCUCCACAGACAUGCAGUGAGUGUCGUUAACAACAGAGUUUGAAAAGUCUGAUCAUUCAAAACCAAGUAGAAAGAUGAACAAAAGGAAAAGUGAUGAGAAAAAACCACGCGAGUGACGACUGAUGACAAACUGCUCAUCAGUGUUUUAGUGGAACCGACCAAAGCACUAACAUGUUUAACCUGUCAACGUGUGAUGGUCACAUGGUACCAGCAUCUAGGUGGAGCAGCAGUAGCAGUAGUAGUAGUAGUAGUAGUAUAGGUAGUAGUAGUAGUGGUAGUAUAGGUAGUAGUAGCAGUAGUAGUCGUCGUCUCAGUCACUGGAAACACUUCUGGCCUGAUCAUGAAUCAAAUAAUUUAGCAUCUUUCUGGAGACUUUGAAUGUAUUUUAGUAAGUGUGUAAAACCUGAGAAAAGUUUGUAAAUCCUGAAUUUAAAAAAGAAAACAGUGUUUGCGUCAAACCUAAAAACCUGUUACUUCAGGUAUUACAGUAUAAUUAAAGCGCAUCCAGGGAAGGGACCACCUUCCUCAGGCACAACAUAAACCCAGUACAUUGAGACUAAGAUGUUAAAUAUACAUGAGUGGAAAAUAACAGAA